This 3420-nucleotide long non-coding RNA is filed under the name Nicotiana tabacum (common tobacco). RNAcentral's name for it is "long non-coding RNA (NTAB_LNC013807)". The record is from RNAcentral. Lineage: Eukaryota; Viridiplantae; Streptophyta; Magnoliopsida; Solanales; Solanaceae.
CAACAUCUCUUUUUUGGAUUUUUGAGUUACAGCACAUUUUUUCAAAUAUAAAACAGAAAAUAACAAUAAUAAAAAGACUUGACAUUACUGUACAAAAGUAGAAAGUAAAAGAUGACAUAAAAUGAGGAACAGACUCAAAACAUAAAAAUAAAACAAAUCCCCUUAAGCAACUCCUGAAUGCGGUGGUCCUGGGAAAUCUGUCAUAUUCAAAUCCGCUAAGUGGAUCCACACCUGUAUGAGAAAACUUAAACCAACACUAUGUGAGACAAUAACAUUCCCUAAGACACAUGCAAGACAUGAUUGAGGCUAUUUUGCAAAAUGACUUAUUUGGCCAAAAGGUGGUUGGAAGUGCAAAAUUUGGCUAAAACCCCGCAAAGCCAAGAACCUGAGAUUUACUAGGAAUACCGGACCCUAAGUGGGUUGCCUACAUAUCACGCCCCGAAAGACGAGAAUCAGGCAUGUGUAGUUCGGGCAGAUUGGAUACGGGCGAGAAUAAUAAAAAAACAACUGACAUAUAGAAAACACAUCCUUUCUUUUUUUUUCGAAAAAUGAUGAAACAUAUAAAAUCUUUUUGGAUUUUCUUUUAUUUUUUUUUCGAUUUUAUUUUUAUUUUUGAAGAAUGAUAAAGAGUGUAAAAUCUUUUUGAAGUUUCCAUGCUCUUUUUCUUAAUAAGAUGUAACAUAAAUAUAAUUGGGCCCUACUCGCUUCAUCCACACACUUCAACCUCUCUCUUUUUCUCUUCUUUUUUUCUUCUUCUUUUUUUCAUUCGCCCUCAAUUAUCAUUGGUCCGCCAAAUGACCCUUUUACCCUUGAAGAAAUACAACAUGUAGCACAUAGGAUACAUCAAGAUGGUCUGUUAUUUUGGAUGCACCUGUCCUAGACGGACCCAACCCCUGUAUUGAGUCCCCUAAGUCAAGUGCACAUGAUGCAAACAAACGUUCCUACUAGGGAUCCGGCAUGAGGUCUUGUUAUACUAGGUUCAAAACCUGGGUUUAUUGUUCUAGACCUGGCUUACCCGAGCGGACAGCUCGAGCCGAGAGCGUACCGAGAAUACAGAAGCUUCACCGGCUUUGCAACUUGUCUGAAUCUCGUUCUAAAUUUGGAAUAUGACUCUAAUAGAAAAUAAGUCACACGAAGUGCACACUUCAUCAUGAUUUAGAAGACUCAGAGAGAAGAGGGAUUUCGCAACAGUUUAUAUACAGUUCAUGGAAUAUCAAAGCGGUAAAAGCAAUCAAUUAGCACAUUAGGCCCAAAUCAUGUAACAAAAUUAGAUAAUGGAUAAAGCCAACUAUAACAAUUAUUCUAAGCUCGAAUUCUUGAACCCUGAACUAGAGAUUUUGGGUUCAGUCCCCAGCAGAGUCGCCAGAGCUGUCACACCUCCCUUUUCACUACACCCGGAAGGGCGUAAAGGAGUUUUUCCAAUUAAUGGACAAUCGAAACGGGAUUAUUAUUAAAAGAUUCAGAGUCGCCACUUGGGAGAUUUAUGGUGUCCCAAGUCAUCGGUUGAAUCCCGAAUCGAGGAAAAGCUUGACUCUGUUUAACAGUCCGCGAACUAGAAAUCCGGGCAAGGAAUUCUGUUAACCCGGGAGAAGGUAUUAGGCAUUCCCGAGUUCCGUGGUUCUAGCAUGGUCGCUCAACUGUCAUAUUUGGCUUAAUUAUCUGAUUUUAAUCAAUUAUGAACCUAUGUGCCGAUUUUAACUUUUUAGCCGUUUUUAUUUAUUUAAAGAAUUAAUUCAAGGUUAUUUAAAACAUAUCACAAGCCACGCAACAUGAAAUGCACUCGUGAUUCACGACACGUUCUAUUUAACCUUGUUGGAAAUUAGGACCGGGUCACAUGAAAUGCACACCCGAAUUGAGAAUUAGGUAUCGUAACUAUGUCAUGGGAACCUUACCCAUGGUCACGAUGAUUUAUUAAUCGCGCCCAAUGCAAACUAGGUGUUCAUAAGUUGUAUCUACUGCUCUAAAUCCACAUGACAUUAUAUUACCUCAAGUACUUUACCUCACUUUUAUUGUGCUAAUUGAACUUCCAUAUGAUUGUAUCAAGUAUGAAUUUUUACAUUCAAUUAUGCAAUCUAGAAAUAUGAAACCGUGAACCCUAAGAUGCCACAGAUCCGAAUAUGGAAAUUCCUUGUUCAAGCCAAUACACAUGCCAAAGGUCGUUGAAACCAUGCUAACAACAAAAUGCAGAUGAACAUAUAAUGGCUAAAAAUUUAAUACUGGAGAAUUCGGCCAAAAAAAAUUAAAUCAACAAAACCAAUGCGUAAAAUGAUCAAACCAAAAAGAACAGUGAUCUUAAGGGUGCAUAUAAAAAAGAUAUACAAUAAUAGAUACUUAAAUCAACUGACAUGUCAACAAAUUGUCCAAACUAGCAAUUGCUAUUUUUGCUUUUCCAAAGUUUAUAAUAAGCACAAUAUAAACACAAACACAUUUUGAUCUCAACUCUAAAUAACACGGUUACAGCUACAGCGCUCAAAUGAAAACGAGUGAAGAAAUAUUAGCAAUAUGGCACACAAAAACACUAAAGAUUCAUGAUACAAUUUAUAGUAAAACAUUGAUUACACCAGAUCUGGGAAGAAAACAUACCUUAACAACAAAUAAGGGCCAAAACAAGUUUUUCAAUCGAGCUUAAUAUUGAAUUCGAAACCCGCACGCUUGGACUGCUUUGAAACUCCAGCCCAAUGACAGAGCCAGCAACGGAGACUUCGACACGAAAAACAUCAAACGGCUUCGACCAAAAAAACCAGUAACUUUGAUCGUCGAUAAUCAAUCGGAAAACUCGGGACGUGCCAGAAACUUUAAGGACAACAACGACCUGGUGUUUGUAGGGUGGUCAUUUGCGAGGUGAGGAGAUGAAGCAGCAGCACUGGACUGGCCGUUGGGUUCAGCUGCUGGGAGUCGUUCAGGUCUGGUUGGGAUGCGGAGAAGAAAGAACGACGUGAGGGUCGGGGUUGUUAUUGUGUUACGGCAGAAUUGGGGGGGAGCUCGGCGACCGACUUCUAGGGCUGAGGUGCAUCGCUGGAAGGUUGUGAGUAGGUCCAGCGAUGAUGGUGAGCUGAAGGGUGGUCGUAGACGGGGGUGUGCGAUGGUGACGCUGAGUUGCUGUGUUCUUGGUGUUUCAUGGCGGUUUCAGGCCAUGGUUGCUGUUUUACCAGACUCCGACGGAGAUGAGGGCUGUGUCGUUUGGACUGAACAACGUCGGUAGCGUGGUUGAGGAAGGAAGGUGGUCGUUGGUGCGUGUGUGAGUUUUCACUAGUUGUUUCCGGCAAGGGGUCGCAAGAUGGAGAAGCAGUAGCGGCUCCUUGUUAUGGUGUCUGUUGGUUUUGCUGUUGAAGAAAAGGCAGUGGGGAAAGGGGUGUUUGGAGAAGACAAUCUGAGAGGGGGGGUUCCUAUGCGCAUCUUUUGUGUAUUUUUUGUUUUCAG